RNAcentral lists this long non-coding RNA (372 nucleotides) under Homo sapiens (human). Its description in RNAcentral is "HSALNT0087345". The record is from RNAcentral. Lineage: Eukaryota; Metazoa; Chordata; Mammalia; Primates; Hominidae.
AUCAUGGAUGCAGGCAAUGAUGUGAUGGGAAGCAGAGAGCCUCUCUAAAGUGGAGAUGGAUGAAACUGACUGAUUCAGCUGGAUAAGUUUAAUGCAUCGGCCUUGAUAACUUUCAUACUAAAGAACUUAAAUUGACCACAGUCUUUGCUGAGUCACACACAAUUAUCUUCAAGAACUCACAGAGGACUUAAAUGACAUAAACUAGAAUAUAUUAUGUCUGUUCUUUCAGAAGAAGAUUAUGGGCCAUCCAGGACAUUACUGACUUACCAAAGUGGAGAAAUAGGUGAACUCAAAUGUUGGCUUUUCAAUGCCUAGAAAAUAAUGGGGUUGGAAUUGGCUGGACUUGUAUGAAUGAAAUCAUAAAAUUUGGGG